Long non-coding RNA from Bos taurus (domestic cattle), 987 nucleotides. NCBI's taxonomy places the organism in Eukaryota, Metazoa, Chordata, Mammalia, Artiodactyla, Bovidae. The record is from Ensembl.
GCUGUCUGGCCUGGCUUGUGCAUCAGAACUACCGGCUCUGCUUUUCCCUCGUCUCAGGGAUUCACACUCCGGAGCACCUUGGGGAACUUGGAGCCACUGAUGAAAGUAAUGCCUGAGAGAGUGGCAUCAGCAGCCGCAGCGAAGGUGCUCCAUCUCUGUGAACUAACAUAAGUACUGGUCCAGGAAAAGGAAGGAAGGAAGCCUGUUCCUUCAUGUAGGAAAUGAGUUGCCAGUCCAGGUUCGAUGCACGAUGCUGGAUGCUUGGGGCUGGUGCACUGGACGGCCCAGAGGGAUGAGCAUAGUAUAUCUUCAAAGAGGCCCUUCUGCCUAUCCUGAGGGAAACUCAUUGGGAUGAAGCUGCUGUGUCUUCCAAGAGGGUUACCAUCUGGUGUUGACCAGCAUAGGAACACCGAUGCAAAGGACAGCUGUCUGGACCAGGCUAGCAUGUUGUGUCUAGUGGUAUAUUCACUCCUUCGAAUACCCUGUAAAAUAGGUUUUCAUUUCCACAGAUUACAAACGAGACUUCAAGAGAUUCAUUAAGCUACUGCAGGUCACAAUUUAGUAAAAUCUGGAACUAGUACAAUCUAUACCUCCCUGGCUCCAAACAUGUGUUCUUUUCUUUCUGCCAAACUUCCUAGAAUAAAAAGUAAAAUGUGUAAAUAGGAUGCCACCUGACAGUUUUAGAACCUAAGAAGCUGAGAAAUGCCAAGCCUACCCAUAGUAAAUCCUGGGUAAAGCCUGGGGUUUGGAUCCUAGCAGACCCAAGCAUUCGAGAGCCAUGGUUUUAUUGAUCUUCACACUGUUUGACUUCAAUUCAAAGUAAAAUUUGCCAUCAUUUAGGUACAUCCAUGUCUCUACAAAUAACCAAAUUUUGUUCCUUUUUAAGGCUGAAUAACAUUCCAUUGCAUAUAUGUACCACAUCUUCUUUAUCCAUUCCUCUGCCGAUUGACAUUAGGUUACUUCUAUGUCUUAGCUAUUGGAAAUUGU